UACGGGGGGGGCAAGCGUUAUUCGGAAUCACUGGGCUUACAGAGUUCGUAGGCGGUACGGAAAGUGGGGUGUGAAAGCCCUCGGCUCAACCGAGGAACUGCGCUCCAAACUACCGUGCUAGAGGAAGAUAGAGGUGAGCAGAACUGAUGGUGGAGCGGUGAAAUGCGUUGAUAUCAUCAGGAAUACCGGAGGCGAAGGCGGCUCACUGGGUCUUUUCUGACGCUGAGGAACGAAAGCUAGGGGAGCAAACGGG
This 253-nucleotide ribosomal RNA is filed under the name uncultured prokaryote. RNAcentral's name for it is "partial 16S ribosomal RNA". It matches the Rfam family "Bacterial small subunit ribosomal RNA", at positions 524 to 776 of the family's 1533-position model. The record is from RNAcentral.